GGGUCGGGUCAGGGUUGAUAAAUGCACAGGCCGCAAGUCUGAGCAGCUUUUGAAAACAUUGACCAAAGAGAGAUAUAAACUAGCAUGUCUGCAUUUAAUAAAAGUAAUACUUGAAUUUCAUUAAUCUCACAUUGGAAAAAUUCACCUCUGCAUUUGAUCUGUCCCCUUGGGGAGAAGUGGGCAAGGGCAAUGCCUAAACACUAGGCUAUAACUUUGAAAACAUCUGGGGGCCUAGUGCAAUGUCUAAACACUAGGCUGCCACUGUCCCUUAUACGCCCUACUCAUUCCCCCAUUUAUAUAUGAAAUCACUUUUAAUUUCUUAUUCAAUACUUGGAUUAAUUUCAGGAUCUUGUUUUUUUUCUAAACAUACAUUUAACUUAACAUUGAUAUAAACUAGAUAUUUUUGAUUUCUUAUUUUUUGGAUUUAAUAUUUUUAUGGAUUAAACUUUGACUAGUACAACUUUUAUCAGAUAAUUUGAUUUCAUACACAUAAAGGCACAUCAAGAAAACUAGAAAGGUGUAUUUCUGUUCUAUAUAGUAGAACAGAAAUACACCUUUCUAAACAAGUUGUGGCCUGUGCAUUUAUCGGGGUGGGUCGGGUCAGGGUUGAUAAAUGCACAGGCCACAAGUCUAUCAGAUUAACUCUGAGCAGCUUUUGGAGAGCUGCUCAGAGUUAAUUAUGAAAACAUUAGGAAGCCUGUACACUAUGUAAAACAAAGGCUUCCUGAUGUACCAAUAAGAAAUACCAGCUGAUACCCCACUGGGGUGGAGGGCAUAGUGGGUUGGGGGUGGGAUGGUUAAUGAAAGAACUAUAAUUCUGUUUUAUCUAGAAUUGUUCAGGUGUGUUUUCUUCAGACAAGAGACCUGUGCUCCUGUGUACUCCAUCACAACAUUCUCUACCAACUUCAGCAAACCCUACUUCAACAUCGUCCCAACUACAACAAGUUUCAAAUCAAAACAGAACAGAAAAAUAGAACUUCCAGCAUCCUCAUGUCUCAGUCUUUCCUCCCAGCAAAAGAUUAAAAGCGUCCAGUCAGCGCCCAGCUCACCACCUGCUGGACUUAAGAAAGAAAAAAACACAUCCUUGCACGGUUCCUUCUGCUGGAUCAGAUGGAGAUAUGUCUUCUUGCUCCAAGUGACAAAAGGUAGAGGUGAUCUUAAAUCCAUGUUCACUUCUUUACUCUGACUGUGCUGUGAUAUUCAUGACUAAUCUCUUUUUACAGAUAACAGUUUCUAAGCCACAGCUUGGCCUUCCUCUGCCCUCCUCUAUGCAUCCUUCAAGCUUAGGUGUCCACAGCUUGUAGACUUAUCAACAUCUACAAGUUAAACCUGCCUCAGUGCUGUUGAAGGAUCAAUUUCCCCUUCAUGUCUGCAUGCAACCACCUUCCCUCUCCAGCAGUGAUGGACUGCUGCUGACACAGGUUUUCCAACUGAGGUCCAGAAGUAAACAAAAAAAUACAACUUUGAUUUA
This is a long non-coding RNA of Cyprinodon tularosa, 1471 nucleotides long. RefSeq lists it as uncharacterized. NCBI's taxonomy places the organism in Eukaryota, Metazoa, Chordata, Actinopteri, Cyprinodontiformes, Cyprinodontidae. The record is from RefSeq and is a predicted model, not a curated record. The transcript is spliced from 3 exons.